Molecule: long non-coding RNA, 11932 nt
Filed under: Solanum tuberosum (potato)
Lineage: Eukaryota; Viridiplantae; Streptophyta; Magnoliopsida; Solanales; Solanaceae
Description: long non-coding RNA (STUB_LNC010353)
Source: RNAcentral
GUUUUCAGAGUAACUUUUAUUUGUUGAUCGUCGGGGCAAUUAUUUUAAAACACUUAAUUUUGACUAUAAUGCCCUUUUUUGUUUUUUCUCACCCUCUACCCCCACCCCCACACUCCCCACUCUCCAUUUCAUCAUCUCCUUUUUUUUUCUUCACUCUCAAAAGCUUGAACACUUACUUUCUGCAAAGCUUAGCUUUUGGAUUUCUCAUUCUCUACAUAUGGAGGACAAAAAAAUGAGUUCUCGAAUCGGGUCACACCAGCUGAGAAACGGGUUAUUCGUCUCGGGCCGACCCGAACAGCAAAAGGAACGACCCACAGCUAUAUCUCGCGCUGUUCCGUACACCGGCGGCGACGUCAAGAAGUCCGGCGAGCUUGGGAAAAUGUACGGCAUCGACAUGUCGACUGGGGACCACCAUACGGGCCCACCAAUUCUGAAAAAACCAUCUUCGAGGGCUUCAUCAUCUUCUCAGCAUAACAGUGGAUCCGUAAGAUCCGGGCCGAAUUCGGGUCAAAUGGGUGGUCACAAAUCCUCCAAUUCCGGCCCGAUUCCCAAGAAGUCCUCUUCCGGUUCCGGUCCAAUUCAGCCAACGGGUCUCAUUUACUCCGGUCCGUUGAGUUCCAGUGCCGGUAGGAGGUCCGGUCAGCUUGAGCCGACAAUUUCGUUCAAAAAAAUAGUCUAUGGCUCCUCUGUUACUAGCUUGAGUGGUGAUAUAAAGAUGGGUUUCAAUGUUUCAAGAGUGGCAAUGUGGGUGCUAUUCGUGGUGAUAUUGAUGGCUUUAAUGGCGGGUGCUUUCGUGAUGGCAACCGUGAAAAAAAUCGUGAUUUUGGUGGCUGUUGGUGCAGCUGUAGCUCCAAUUUUGAUGAUCUUGCUGUGGAAUUACGCGUAUAAAGAGCGAGGCUUGGUGGAGUUUCUAAGAAGAUAUCCUGAUGCUGAGCUUAGAGGUGCUGUUAAUGGACAGUUUGUGAAGGUUACUGGGGUAAUUUCAAACUCAUAUGUCAAAAUUCAAUCAUAUCAUUUUAUUUCUUAUUUGUAUUUGAUAUUUGCUAAAUUUGGUUUGGUGAUGUUGAAAUGUGUAAAAAUGUUUUAUUAAAUGUAGUAAUGAUUUUGUCAUUAGGUGGUAGUUAUGGUUGAUUAGUAGGAUAGAUGUUUUGGAUGAUAGUAUUAAGAUUGUCAUUUACCAUAUUGUCCUUGGAGGUGAUGAUGACCAUGUGUUGUCCUUGCUAAGCUUUGAUUUGAGUAGGAGAAAAAUUUUCCAUAUUGAUUUUGCCUUAAGUCACCUAAAUUAUGCUUAAGGAAGUGUUAAAGCAAAUAGCUUUAUCGGUGUCUUAAGAUUGUCAAUUACAAUAUUGUCCUUGUGGGGGAUCUCUUUGCUAAGCUUUGAUUUGAGUUGGAAAAGAAUUUUCUUGAUUUUGCCUGAAGUCACCUAAAUUAUGCUCAAGGAAGGUGAAAACACAUAGCUUUAUCCGGUGUCUUAAGAUUGUCAAUUACCAUAUUGUCCUUGGAGGUAACGAUGACCAUGUGUUGUGGAAUCACUUUGAUUGUUCUUGUCGGAUCUUUGAUAAGCUUUGAUUUGAGUUGUGAGGUAGAAUUUUCCGUAUUGAUUUUACGUGAAGUCACCUAAAUUAUGCUUAAGGAAGGGUUAAAGCACAUAGCUUUAUCUGGUGUAUUAGUCUUGCAAAGCGUUGGCUGCAGAGUACUGAUCUGAAGUUACUCAAUUCUUAUUGCGGAUGAGUUGUUUAGAAAGUGGGUAGAUAGGAGUUAGGACAGCAUGAUGUGGUAGAAAGGGGGAAUAAAUCGCUAAGUGUACUUAUCCACGAGUUAGAAGGUGAGAAGAGGGACGGAAAGGAAAGAAGAUAGUUAAGGAAAAAAUGAUAUGAUAAGUGGAUAUGUACUGGCUGCUGAUAUAUAUACUUUUUAUGCAGUUUUAAUAGACUGUUAGUUAUCUAUAAAGACGAUAUUUGAAGAUAUAUGAUGAACAAGAAUAAGAGGGUUAGAACUACCUUUCUGAUAUCUUGUGUUCUUUCGUUACUUAUUCAACAGAGAAAUACUUCUUAUCUUCUUAUAAGUUUAUUUGUGCUGCCCUUUCUUUUCUUCUGAUACAAGAAAAUAAGUACUGUUUUUUCAUGGCCGUCCUUUAAUUGUAUGCAGCGUUCAGGUUCUAAUUAUCUCUUUGUUUCCUUUAUCCAAAAUGUAUUUGUUGUUUUUCUUUAGUCCUUCAUUGGGAUUCCUAUCCUACCUAAAACAGGGAGAACUUAUGCUUCUUUCUUGCUUGCUUAUAACCCUUCUAACCCCUCUAGCCAUAAACGACAUCAAGUUCUGCUUUCACAAUAACUUGAUAAAAUGAAUAAAUAGGUCUUAUUAUUGUAUUUCUAUAACCCCCUCAUGUAGUGGUUUUCCGAAAUGCACAUUUGCCAAAUAUGAUCCACCCUUUCCGGAAAAAGGAAAAGAAAAAAAUAACUCUCCAAAACAGCCCAAAAAUUGGAGAACUACUUUUCUUUAUAUGAACAGAGUAAAAAAAAAGGUGUCAAAGUUAGCUUUUAAUGUGGUGAUCCAAUUAUUGUAUAGCAUGUGUGUAUAUUAUGGUAUUUGAGUAAAAUCUAGAUAAAUAUGUGUCCCCAAACUUUUCCUAUUUCUACGGUAUUAAAUUCUUGCUGCAUUAAGUGAAGCCGUUUUCUUGGACUUCAUCUUUGAGUUGCUAUGGGAACCAUACCCCUCAUGAAUUGCAAAUAAUGUUGGAAAGGGAAGCUUCGUUAUAAGUGUUAUUUAAGGACUUGCUGUAUUCAGCUGGACACACUAAGUACUCUCCCUGUGCUUCUUGUUGUUCCGAGCCUCCAAAUAUGGCUCUCUGUCCUUGUUAAUUUGCUCAAAAUUUCAGUUUGGAUUGUCAUACAUAAUUCACUUUUCUAAUAGACACCGCAGAUAUUGAACCUAGGGAAUCAGAAACCUACGAUUGUGAUCUUCUAAUAUCCAUGUUUCUACUCCAGAAGAUGUAAAUGAAUCUUAUGUUUAAGUCAUGUUUAAUCUUCUUAAUCAUUAAGUAUAAAAUAAUCACGUUUUGAUGUUUGGAGUGUGAUAGAGUUGACGACACCUGCUAGAAUUUUAUUCUUUCUUUGGAAUUUAGAUGGAAAUUUAUUAAUUCUUCUGAACUUUUAGCGGUGAGAACUUUUAGACCGUGUCAAGCCUUGGUGUCUUGUAAAGGUGGAAAAGAUCGGACUGUAGUUUGUUACUUUGUUUUAUUUUGUAAUGUUCCUUUUAAAGUGUCAAUUUAGUUUUUGCAUGAAUGCACAUAGAAACUAUAUAUCUUGUUUUGGUUAUGGUGUAGGAUGUAACAAGUACACGAAAACAGUUCUAAAAACAUUAGAAUCCGUACAAGAUUAGACGGGGAACACUUUUGUUGUUUGUUCUUUUGCUUCUUCAUACAGCCGUAAUAGUACAUCCUUCGGUGCUAUUCUAAUGUAUAUAAUUACUUUAGCUUCUCAAAAUUUUUAAAAAAAAAAUGAAUGCACACAUAAAGUUUACCAUUAUGCUACCUUAUCAAAAGUUUACCAUGAUACUACCAAUGAAUUACUUGUAACACAUAAAGAUCUUGCAUUCCAAAUCCUGCACACUUUCAAGGAUGUUAUUUAGGGAGUAAUAUAAUUUCUCUUCUUUUUGUAGGUUGUCACCUGCGGCAGCAUUCCUCUUGAAACUUCUUUUCAGCGGGUACCAAGAUGUGUAUAUGCUUCUACAGAAUUGCACGAAUACAAAGCUUGCGUUGGAAAUUGUGCAAAUCCUAGACAGCGUAGCUUUUCAUGGGGACGCAGGCAUUCGGAGGUUGGUUUGUAUAUCAACUAUUUGAGUAUUUCUUGAUUUGAUCCCAGUACUCAGUGCCAAUUGGUAUCAGCCGAAUGUUAUUUUAAGUGCAAUAGUUAUUAUUAUAUAACAGUGGCAUAGAUAUAGUUAUGUUGAUACUUAUACUAUUUCAUCCUCGUUAGAAGUUGAAUACAAAUGCUUCGGGGAGGUCAUCCGGUACCUAUGCUGGUGGGAGGUAGCAGGUACCUGAUGGAAUAGUCAGGGUUCCAUAAGCUGUGGUGUCAUUGAAAUAUUACAUGGGAACUAUAAAAAAGUUAUACCCCCUCUGAUUCAACUUGUUUGUUUGAUUUUGACUUAGCACGAAGUUUAAGAAAGUAAAAAAAACUUUUGAAUCUUGUGGUCUUAAACUAAAGAUAUAGAAUGUACCAAAAUGCCCUUUAAUCUUGAGAUCUUAAACAUGCCAUGUGGGAAGUUAGAAUUAAAGAGUUGGAAAAAAGGAAAUGGCGAUUUUAAUUUAAAAUGGACGAUAAAUGAAAGUAAGACAAACAAAUUGAAACGGAAGGAAUAUGCAGUUCAAGCUGAAGUUUUGGAAUUCAAGUCACAUAAGGCGAUGGACUAUCUAUCUUCAAGCCUGAGCAAACAAACUUCAGUGCAAGUUCAUAGAGUCAAAAAGAUUUGUAACCAACAUCAUUUACCAACUUCGAGGGUUACGUUUUCAGAAAUUUCUAGACUUCUACUGGUCAGAUUUUGCUAAAACCAAUAGUCCUGUUACUCUUUCUGAUACGUAACUUUCUGAUAUACAAAAUUUUGUACUGUCAACUCCUAAGAGGUCAUAACGAGUGGUGACAAUUGAUCCUUUGCCUCUUCCCCUCAUCCCAGGAUUAUGUGGUCAUGAUUCCAAAUGUUAUGUCUAAUGAAGUCACCAAGUUCAAAAAAAAUGUUAUGUCUAUUGUCUAAUGAGAAACUGACAUAUGUUUCUUGGUAACAGAACUAUGUUGGUGAUUUCUAUAUAUCAGACUUCCAGACUGGAUUAAGAGCGCUGGUUAAGGCAGGCUAUGGAGCAAAGGUGGCACCAUUUGUAAAAUCAAAAACAGUUGUUGAUGUAACAAGUGACAGUGAGUUGUCUCCUAAUUUCAUAAGAUGGCUUGCUGAUCGAAACCUCUCAAGUGAUGACCGUGUAAUGCGACUGAAAGAAGGGUAAGUUGAGUUUAUUCAGCGAACCUCAUGUAUUUAUUCCAACUUAUGAAAGCUUCCCCAGACUAAGGUUCUUGCUGAUUGCUUAAAAAAUUACAGUUACAUCAAAGAAGGGAGCACCGUAAGUGUCAUGGGCGUUGUAAUGCUCCAAGAGAACGUGCUAAUGAUUGUUCCACCACCUGAGCCUAUUUCAAUAGGCUGUCAAUGGCUCCGUUGUCUUCUUCCAACCUACGUAGAAGGUCUCAUCUUGACCUGUGACGAUAUUCAGGACGGUGAUGUUAUUCCUGUAUAGUAUAUACUACCAAUUUUGAUUAUUCCCACGAGUUUAUGCCAUAAGAGUACACAACCGAUGGCAGCACUAGGCUAGCGAAGGUGUGCCUUUUUUUCGUUCCUAUGCAAAUAUUCAACUGUAUGUAAGAUUGCAUAGCAGAACAGAAACAGGCAAAACUGUGUUUUUCUAGAAGUCUGAAGUUGGUUAUUCCUAUGUAUUUAAUGGUGUUUUUAGCAGAGUUCCUAAAGGGAAGAGGAGAUAAAAGGGUCUUCCUCCUUUGAGCAACUAAGCUUGUUGUGUAUGAUGCUAGAUUUCAUAUCUAGUUUGUUUUUUGCUGCAUUAUGAUAUGUUUAUAUAUGUAAAUGUUCAUAGCUUGCUUUAGCUUUUUGUUUUAUUUUAUCGCGGGUAUAACUAUUUGGUAUUUGGAAUUCACUUAGUUCUGAAAUUUGCACGUUUAAGGUUCGUUAAAGGAGGAAGCGCUCUUUAUCAGAAUAUAUUAGAUUGUAUUGCCAAAUUUGUUAAUAUCAUCUAAUGAUGAAAAGUGCAGCUUCGGGUAACAAUAGAUUUGGUGUAAUCACGCCAUUACCUUAUCUUUUUUCCGUUGCUUGUACUUUUUAUAUGACAAGGGAACCCACAAUGGCUAUCCUUUAGGUAUGCACAAGAUAAAUUCUAUUGUACUGUAAUAGUCCAUAAACCAUACAUGAGAGGUAAAUCGUAUCAGGCAUGCACAAUCGAAAAAGCAUGCAUGCGGUUUCGAACCUCAGAGCCCCAGUACUUAUUAUUUAAUAAUUCUAUUUUACUCUGCAUGCUUACCUUUUUUUCUAGUAGUACCUCUACCAUACGCCUUACAUUUUCUCUGUAAUAUUAUAAGCUUAUUCUUCCUAAUGUUGGUGUAAUAACACAAUGAAACAACGGAAAACGAUAUAAUCAUCCAAAGUUUCAAAUAUUCAAUUCAUCAAUAUAAUAUAAUACAAUAAUAUAUAUUAUGAAACGAUACUAUAGAAUAAAAAAACACUAACAAACUUUCUAUAUAGUUCUGACAAUUCUUAGAAGCCGCGCGAAAUGGCUGUUGUACGGAAUAACAGAAUCAAGAUUCCCUUCACUCCCCUGUGAACUUUUCACCUUAUUUCUUUAAACUAAAAAGAAAAAAAUUCAGUUUUUUUCCAUACAAUAUUUCAAGAUUCAUUAAAGGGGUUGCAGAUAAUAGAAAAAUUUGUAAUGGGUAAUCGAAAUAUGGAUGAUUUCUUGAUUCUAUAUAUUUUUGGAAUUGCAUUUAUGGGUAUGUUUUUAAGAUGUUUUGGGAGUGUUGGAGUAAACUGGGGUACAAUGGCAACUCACCAAUUACCCCCAAAUAGUGUUGUGAAGAUGUUGAUAGAAAAUGGUUUUGAUAAAGUGAAACUGUUUGAAGCAGAUGAAGUGAUUUUGAAUGCUUUAAUUGGUACUGAAAUUGAAGUAAUGCUUGCAAUUCCUAAUUAUAUGUUGGAGGAUUUGAGUUCUAAUUCUAUAAUUGCUGAUUCUUGGGUUGAAGCUAAUGUCUCUGCAUAUGCUUAUCCUCAUGGAGUCAAAAUCAGGUUCAUUUUUAAACCAGUUCUUAGUAUUCCUUUGCUUUACUUGCGUCGAGAGUCUAUCAGAAACAACAUUUCUACCUUCGGAAAUGUGUACUCGUGUACAUACAACGUUCCCUAGAUCCCACUUGUGGAUUAUACUGGAUAUGUUGUUGUUGUAGUAGUUAGUAAUUCUCCUAGUUUAUUCAAAGUUUUUUGUUGUUGAGUUGAGCUUAAGGGUGUGUUUGCUAUGAAGGAAAAUGUUUCUCGAAAAAUAAGUAGUUUUCUUACUUAUUUUCAGGUUUUUGCUAAGUAUGCAGAAAAUAUUGUUCGGAAAGCAUUUGUAUAUAAUGUAAGCGAACUGUAUGGGGUUGGGAGAUGGGGUUGGAAGCUAUGGGGGUGAAAUGUUUUGGAGGGUGCGGAGGAGACAAUCAAUGUAAAAUGCUUCUUAUGAAACCCGAAUUCCUUAUUUCCACUGAACUUGUUUUCCUAGAGAAAAUUUUCAGGUUUUUUUUAACGAAACACACCCUAUAUGCAAAAACACAUUACUUAGGAUUCAUAUAGCCGAUCCCAACUUAUUUGAGACUGAGGCGUAAUGGUAGGAUAUAGGAAGAUCAAGAAAGGGAAGGGGAACAUGGACUUAGAGGAAUUGAAUCCAUUUGUGUUGUGUUUGCAACUUCAGUAGAGUUUUGUUUGAAUUUCUACAUAGCAUUUCUCAAAUGAAUGUAGGUAUGUAGCAGUGGGAAAUGAGCCAUUUCUCCGAACAUACAACGGGACGUACCUGCAGUACAUAUUACCAGCACUGAAAAAUGUUCAAGAAGCCAUCAACAAAGCUGGAUUAGGGGCAAAGGUGAAAGCAACUAUCCCUUUCAAUGCAGACAUUUACUUCUCCCCUGAGUCAAAUCAGGUACCCUCAGCUGGUGAUUUCAGGCCAGAAGUGCGCGAUUUAACCCUCCAGAUUGUCCAAUAUCUGUAUUUGAAUGAUGCCCCUUUCGUCGUUAACAUCUAUCCUUUCCUAAGUCUAUAUGGGAACAUCUACUUCCCAUUAGACUUUGCCUUCUUUGAUGGCUCAAACAAGCCUGUCAGAGAUGGAGAUUAUGUUUACACGAACGUGUUUGAUGCCAAUUUCGAUACACUUGUAUGGUCGUUGAAGAAAGCUGGUUUCACUGACAUGAAAAUCGUAGUAGGAGAAGUAGGUUGGCCAACAGAUGGAGAUAAGAAUGCUAAUAACGAAAACGCUAUGAGAUUUAACCAAGGAUUGAUCAAACAUUGUUUGAGUGAACAAGGAACUCCUGCAAGAAAGGGCAAGAAGAUAGAGGUUUAUUUAUUCAGCCUUAUUGAUGAGAAUGCUAAAAGCAUUGCUCCAGGUAACUUUGAGAGGCAUUGGGGAAUGUUUGAAUUCGAUGGAAAGCCUAAAUACGAGCUAGAUUUAUCCGGGAGGAUGCAGAAGGACAAAGGGUUAGUUGCAGUAGAAGGUGUAAACUAUAUGCACAAAAGGUGGUGUAUACUUAAACCAGAAAACGCGGUAACAGAUGUAGAUAAUGCAGAAGACUUACCAAAAAACAUAGAUUACGCGUGCAGUCUUUCAGAUUGCACGGCUUUGGGAUAUGGCUCGUCCUGUAACCAUCUUAGCACGGAAGGGAAUGCGUCCUAUGCUUUUAACAUGUACUAUCAGCUCAAGAAUCAGAACAGUUGGGACUGUGAUUUUGAUGGCCUGGCUGUGGUGACUGAUGAGGAUCCAUCGGACGACAAAUGCCGAUUUCCGCUGAUGAUUGCUGUUGGUCACUCCCUGGAUAUGCUGUUGCCCAAGAAGCUGUUGUAUGUCUUACUUGUUGCUAUUCUCCUCUUGAUGGAUGAUUAGUGAAUCUUGUUCCUUGUUUUUUCUCCUAGAGACAAGUCACUUUGAGAAAAUACAUCAGUAAAAUUCAGUAUGUUAAAAGUAAGUCUCAUUCUAGAUAUUGAUAACUAUCCAUUGCUCAGACUAUAUUUUGGUGAUAUAGCUUUUGAACAAUUUCUUUGCAAAACCUUUACAGAAUCGUACGUACAGUCUCACAAAUUUUAGAGUCAACUUUACGCAUUUAGGGGCCAAUUUAUAGAUAUUAGACAAUUUUCUUAGUUUUUCGUGUGUUAGCCCAUGAAUAUUUUUAUGAUAUGGCUUCCGAAUGAUCUUUGUGAAACCUUUACAGAACCCUCCGUAGGGAAUUGGGGGAGUAUUACGUACCGUCUCACAAUUUUUACAGUCCAUUUUGGACAUUUAGGAGCCAAUGUACAAGAAUUAGGUGAUUUUCUCAGUUUUUCAUGUAUUACGUAAUGCUCCACCAAAUCAUUUACGUAAUCCUCGUAAAACCGAAAAUAUACAAAAAUGGCGGGACAGUACGUAAUGCUUCCCCAACUCAUUACGGAGGUCCUUAUAAAGUCUUUUUAUAAAAAAAAAUUGGGUGCUCCGAGACGCCAAAUCCAUGGGCUAAUACACACGAAAAACUAAGAAAGUCGGGUAAUUCCUAAAAGUUGGAUCGUAAAUGAGAAAAUAUGCGUGAAAAAAAUGGUGGGACUAUACGUAAUGCUCUCCAACUCAUUACAAAGGUACCCAAAAAUGAGCGCUACAAGCCAUAAAAUCAAUGGGCUAAUACAUUUGAAAACCAAGAAAGUAGUGUAGUUCCUAAAAGUUGGCCCCUAAAUGCAAAACUAUGCCUUAAAAAAAUGGCGAGACUAUACGUACUGCUCUCUCAACUCAUUACGAUGGUCCUCAUAAAAAAAUUUCAGAAAAACCUUACCAGCGCCACAAUGCGCCAAAUCCAUGGACUAGCCUAUGAAUAUUUUGUGAUCGGACAAUUUCUUUGCAUAACUUUUACAGAAUCUUCUGUAGGGAGUUGGAGGAACAGUACAUACUUUCUCACAAUUUUUAGAGUUCAUUUUGGACAUUUAGGGGCCAAUUUACAGGAAUUAGGCGUUUUUUCCUUAAUUUUUCGUGUGUUAACCGAUGAAUAUUUUGGUGAUAUGAUUUUCGAAUGAUCUAUUUGUGGAACUUUUACGGAACCCACCAUAGGGAGUUGGGGAAGUAGUAUGUACAGUCUCACAAUUUUUAGAGUCCAUAAUAAAAAUUCUGUAAGAAGACAAUAACAACAACGCCAUACCCAGUGUAAUCCAACAAAAGUGGAGUCUGGAGAUGAUAAAGUGAACGCAGACUUUAUCACUACCUUGGAGUAGAGAGGUUGUUCCCGAUAGAUCCUCAACUCAAAGAAAAUACAGACCAAAGCAAUAAAGAGAAAGAAAUACGAAAAUGGAGAAAGUCCUGGUAAAAUACUAUAGAUAACCUAUAAAUCAUCCUAAACGAUAGUCAUAAUAAGAAUAAAAAAUAGAAGCGUAAAAAGCCCAUAGACAAUAACCAAAGUCAAAGGACAGGAAACUAUAAGAGUAAUAUCACGACUAAUAUUAUAGACAAAUAAGAGAGACAAUGCUCCGGUCACAUUGUACCCUUUGUAUUUUAGGUGUGUACUUUUAAACACUAACAUCUGAAAAAAGUUUCUUACAUCAUAGUAAUGUCGUCUUAUGGCGAAGCGAUAAGAGAUUAAAAAAGACGGGAGGAACUACAACGAAAAUGCUACAGUCUAGACUGCAUUCCACCGGCAACUACAAGAGUUUCUCCGGUUACAUAAGCUGCAUCGUCUGAAGCAAGAUAGGCAGUAGCUGCAGCCAUGUCUUGUGUUGUUCCGAGCCUACUGAGUAAUGUCUUAGCCUCAAGUUCUCUCCUCUAUAAAACAAUAAGCGUCCACUUAAUAAACUAUGAACUCGCGAUCAGAUAUUUUAACAAACGAGAGAUAAGACAUCUAACAGUAAUGCGAACUUACCAAAUUAGCAUCCCCUGUGAUGAACUUAGCGAAAUGUGUGGGUACAAAACCUGGUGCAACACAGUUCACACGAGUACUCGGAGCCAUUUCAGCUGCGAGAGCCUGAAAUGGCACAAAAAAUUUAGAAGGAAACUAAAAAGAAUUCAAGAAUUUUCACUGUAUGGAUUUUUCUGAGGCCACUCUUUAAAUUUUGUCCCCAUUAGCGUAGUGGACUAAAUUUCGCCUUUCAAAGUAGUUGGAUGAGUUUUUGUUUUUAGGCUAACGGGGACAGAAAUUUUAAAUAGUUCCCUGGAAAAAAGCCAUUUGUGUUGUAACUUAAUAAGCUAAUAAUGCCACGAUAAGUACCUUGGUCAGUCCAAGAAGAGCUGUUUUUGUUACGCCAUACAUUCCCAUGGAAGCAGGUGGUCUAUAAGCAGCAAUAGAUGAAAUUAUAACCACCGAGGAACCAUUCUGAAGGUAAGGAGCUGCAUCCUAUAAGUGUUUCAAAGAGUAAAUAUUAUGCACAGCGCCAAGAACAAUUAAAAGUAAUAUUGGGACAACGGAAUGUAGAAUAAAUCAAAACAUAUGAUAGAAAGAAAAUCUUAGCAUCCUCUAAUUUCCUCAAUAUUUCUACAGGCAUACAUGAAUAUCAAACAUUUUUCUCUUAAGAAUUUAUUCAUAUCAAUGACUUACUUGAAGUAAUAAGAUAGCGGCUUUCACGUUGAUGUCCCAUAGCUUGUCAAGGGUUUGUUCUUUAGUUUCUAAUAUUGUAGCCACGGUAGGAUUUACAGCAGCAUUUGACACAAUGACAUCUAAUUUCCCGUAUUUCUGGAAAAUGACAACUUCCAAUUAGUGAAAUUGGAAUAUAACUUCUGCAGAGCAACUGUAUUAUCAUACAAGUCAGGUUCAAAUGUGAUUAAUAUUGACCGAUCCACAAAUGUCUUUGAGGGUUCACCGUGCUUUUUAAGUACUAUAGCGUCCCGUACACUCUUUUUAUUGAAAAUUUAGUAGGUGCUUCAUCAAUAAUUAAGAAGAUUAAAAUGAGUGAAAACAAAUUUAUCAUAUUUUCUGGAAAUUCACUAGUCAUGGUUUUUGUUUUCAGAAUUUCUAGGGUCUGAAAAUGCCUAUUAAGACACUGACGCUGGCUUAUCGAAUAUGAUUCCUCAAAUGGUCCAUUUCUAGACAACAACGAGAGAAGCCAUUUUUAAGAGAGUGAACAACAACCACUCUAAUAUGAUGAAACAGUUAGACUCGCGUGAGAAACUCAUGAGCGAAGAGCAAUGAAAAAGCAUCUCCGGGUAUUC